CAGCAGCCGCGGGAAUACAGAGGGUGCGAGCGUAAUCGGAUUUACUGGGCGUAAAGCGUGCGUAGGCGGCUUUUUAAGUCGGAUGUGAAAUCCCUGAGCUUAACUUAGGAAUUGCAUUCGAUACUGGGAAGCUAGAGUAUGGGAGAGGAUGGUAGAAUUCCAGGUGUAGCGGUGAAAUGCGUAGAGAUCUGGAGGAAUACCGAUGGCGAAGGCAGCCAUCUGGCCUAAUACUGACGCUGAGGUACGAAAGCAUGGGGAGCAAACAGGAUUAGAUACCCCAGUAGUCCCUGUCUCUUAUACA
This 301-nucleotide ribosomal RNA is filed under the name uncultured bacterium. Its description in RNAcentral is "partial 16S ribosomal RNA". It matches the Rfam family "Bacterial small subunit ribosomal RNA", at positions 509 to 808 of the family's 1533-position model. The record is from RNAcentral.